This is a long non-coding RNA of Chenopodium quinoa (quinoa), 701 nucleotides long. RefSeq lists it as uncharacterized. NCBI's taxonomy places the organism in Eukaryota, Viridiplantae, Streptophyta, Magnoliopsida, Caryophyllales, Amaranthaceae. The record is from RefSeq and is a predicted model, not a curated record. The transcript is spliced from 4 exons.
UUUUUAGAAGAAAUUAGUCAUAGACCCUCUUUCCCUCAUAGUUACAAAUCGGUCCCCAUUUUUCACAAGGCUCACAAAUUUUCUCUCUCCUCUAAAAGUUGAAACUGCUCCAAAGUAAAAAGUCCACAAAAACUCCAUUAAAGGUUCUCCAAAAUUCAUUCAUCAAUAUCAUUACGUUGAAAUUUUCGGGUUUCAUAGUAAAUUGGGAUAGAUUGAAGAAUAUCAGAUUUGAAAAGUUGGGUGGCGAGAGUUUCAAGCGCAAGAGAAAGAAAUCGGGGCUUAAAAUUCCUAAAUCGGUGUAUAGUUGAACAUUUGGUUGGAGUUCACUCAAGCAAAGGUCAACAGAGUUUUGAGCUAGUUUUGGCACUUAGAUUCAUCAAGAAUUCUGGCGCAAUAUCAAGUGCUCAGUGUGAAUUGCUGCUAUCCCAUAUAGAACAGUCAAAUUUAAUUUGUGAAGCAGACAGAGACAAAAUUGAAAAAAUCAUCAAAAUUUGAAGGUUAAACAUUGUAACAAUUAACUAACUAGCUUUUUUUUAUUUUUUAGUUAUAGAGUAUUAUUUAUUGUGAGUUGUGUGAGAAAUAUUUGUAAUUUACUAGUACAUCAAUUCAAUAUAAUUUACAAGAUGUUGUAUAAAGUUUAUUUAUCUUAUAUUGGUUAAAUUAAUAGUUAUUAUAGUUUAUGAAAGUUUAUUAAUAAUUAA